This 468-nucleotide ribosomal RNA is filed under the name uncultured bacterium. RNAcentral's name for it is "partial 16S ribosomal RNA". It matches the Rfam family "Bacterial small subunit ribosomal RNA", at positions 28 to 507 of the family's 1533-position model. The record is from RNAcentral.
GACGAACGCUGGCGGCGUGCUUAACACAUGCAAGUCGAACGGAAAGGCCCUGCUUUUGUGGGGUGCUCGAGUGGCGAACGGGUGAGUAACACGUGAGUAACCUGCCCUUGACUUUGGGAUAACUUCAGGAAACUGGGGCUAAUACCGGAUAGGAGCUCCUGCUGCAUAGUGGGGGUUGGAAAGUUUCGGCGGUUGGGGAUGGACUCGCGGCUUAUCAGCUUGUUGGUGGGGUAGUGGCUUACCAAGGCUUUGACGGGUAGCCGGCCUGAGAGGGUGACCGGCCACAUUGGGACUGAGAUACGGCCCAGACUCCUACGGGAGGCAGCAGUGGGGAAUAUUACACAAUGGGCGGAAGCCUGAUGCAGCAACGCCGCGUGCGGGAUGACGGCCUUCGGGUUGUAAACCGCUUUCGCCUGUGACGAAGCGUGAGUGACGGUAAUGGGUAAAGAAGCACCGGCUAACUACGUG